AAAACCCUUACCUCCUACCAGCCGAUCCGCGUGCCCAUUCUGUCGGCUCUUCAUCUGUUCAUGUUGCUUUGAUCCAAUGGACGAGAUCGUGUUCGCGCCCGUUGGAACCAUGACCGAGCCGGGACCAUUUCCUGAAACAUCCUCGUUGUUUCAGGACGACAUUCGUGCAACUAGAAGCAGCCAUCCCCGCAGCAGCAUGCGCUUGGUGCCUGGGAAGGCGCCGACGACUGGAUCUGGGAAGGCGGCGGUGCGACCGGGGCUACCCCACCGCCGUGACGAUGACUACGUCUUCGGGAGCGGCGGCGGCCGUUGACAACCCAAGUAGCAUGGUACCAAACCCGAUGGUUGGCAAAGUGGCUACGCAAGAUAGCCAACACUGUCAAAGGGAAAAAGUGGGAUAUCAUAAGCAAGUCCUCUUUUGGGGAUUUUCUUCAUAUACUUCUUUGGUUCCUCCUCCAUAAGCUCUUGUUGAUUUCAUAGUCAUGAGGAUUGAUACCAAAAAGCGUAUGCUAAAGUUAACUGACCGCAAGAAGAUCCACCUCACAAGAUAUAUGGUUAAGAAGAUAUUCAAUCUACCAUCUGGUAACAAGCCAUUAGAAUUCAACAAAAGAGGAAAAACAGAUUUCCGCGAGGUUUAUUUGGAUGGUGAACGGGCUCCAAUACCCACCACAAUUGUUGUUUUAUCGAAUGCUAGUGAUGACGACGAGGAGAUCAUUGAUUUUGCUUUGCCUUUCAUUGGUCCUAGCUCCUGCGAUAUGAAAUAUGGUGCCUCUAGAUUAUUUAUACAUCUUAGGAGACAUGAGUGUGUCCAUGAGUUCGAGCGGGACGAGCAUAUUCUGUUUGAUGUGAUGAGGGAAGUUAAUAAAUACCAGGAUAAGAGGAAUGAUGGUAAACUGAAAUUCCUGAUUGGCGGUUGUCUACCAAUGCUUCCCGUACUUCCCUUCAUUCCGUAACAACCGCCUUUUCUUUGUUUCCGGAGCAUCCCGCUUUUAUAGUGGAUCACGUGUCUUCUUUUUUUGCACGUAAUUUACAUGGACCACAUUGACAUUCCAAGAGGAUGCAUAGUUGAUCAUACCAUCUACUAUUCUCUGCCACAUGUUUGUUUUGUCUAGGAUUUGGAUUUCACCAUUGUAAUCGCAAUUGACACCCUAGAAGAUGCUUUCGGGCAGCCAUGUCCAUUACACCGUACGCAACAACCAAGUUACUGUCAUACAUAUACCAGCUUGCCCAGUUAUCCAUCCAAGCUAGUGUGACAUAGGAGCCACCAGAAAUAAUUGUCCAAGGUGGAGCUAGUGCAUUCGCAACACACAGUUUGGAUGUGUCGGAUAAAUCGCACACACAAUAAAAGCUACAAGGAGGAUUCGUUGAGGGCGCUCAAGGACCAUCUAAGGGUGGUAUGGAUGGUGAUGAUGGCACAUCGGGGAAUGUGCAUGAGCCACCUUUGGAUAACAUGAAAGGUGGUGAUGAUGUGUGUGGCUCUUUGGAGGAGUUGCUGCAUCCGCUACCUACAAUUGAGGAGUUAGAGCUACCCCCACAUAUGUGUGCCAUAUACAACAAGCAUAAAGAGAUCUUUGCUAUAGAACUUAAAGCCGAAGUGAGGUCAUUUGAGAGGUUGUUGCUGGGCAUGUACUGCAAACGAUUGGCCCUAAUGCUGUCUGAGGCAUCCAAAGCUGGUUCGAGGAGCGACGAAGCCAAAUAUGAAGGUACGGAUGUCACUUUUGAUGUACCAGUAGCUCAUGCGGACAUGUUUGGUGCCAGUGUCACUGUACCCUUUGCUGAGCCGUCAAAUAGUGAUGAUUUCCCUGGCACAACUUUAGGCAUGGAUGAUGCAACUGCCAGUGACUCGAAUCAACCGGAUGGGACUACAACAACUACUGAUGCAUCUCCUAGUGGCUCGUCUCCGCAGCAGCAGAAGCAACCGGAUGGGACUACAUCAACUACUCAUCAAACUGUCAAUGUUUCAACUCCGUAGCAGCCUAAACAAUCGGAUGGCAUGAAUGGGACUAGAGCAACAACUGAAGCCACUGUCACUUUAUCGUCUCUACAAUAGGCUAAGCAAUCUUAUGGCACAAAGAGUGGGGAUCCAGCAGUGGAAGUUGGUCACACAAAUCCUGCCCAACCACCCAUCAAGAGUGAGAGUGAGCACAACAAUUCCAAGGGAGAAGAUAUAUGCAGCAAGGAGAAAAACAGUGAACAUAUUUCACCUCGCAGCCCAAAUGACCCAUCCUUGAAUUUGAUUAGGUGGUAUGCACACUUGAAGAUGUCCCAUCAUUUAGCUUGUUUGAACCUAGCAGUGACGACGCUAAACUAUUUCACGAUCCUCCACAAGUUUCACCAGCAAGAUCACCUGGUGGUCCUGGUCCUAUUUGUGAUGUGAAUCCUCUCGCAACAUGCCCCCAAUAUCAGGAGGCCCUGCAGAAGCAGGUGUUGUUGAAAUAAGAGAGGAGGUGCUGGUUGAAGUCAGCAGUGGACGAAGCCAUGAUCAUAUGAAGCCAACAAGACAUAAGAGAGUUUGAUAUGUCUCCAACGUAUCUAUAAUUUUUGAUUGUUCCAUGCUAGUAUAUUAUCUGUUUUAGAUGUUUUACAUGCGUUAAUAUGCUGUUUUAUAUUAUUUUUAGGACUAACCUAUUAAUCCAGAGCCUAGUGCCAGUUCU
Long non-coding RNA from Hordeum vulgare subsp. vulgare (domesticated barley), 2654 nucleotides. RefSeq lists it as uncharacterized. The record is from RefSeq and is a predicted model, not a curated record. The transcript is spliced from 7 exons. NCBI's taxonomy places the organism in Eukaryota, Viridiplantae, Streptophyta, Magnoliopsida, Poales, Poaceae.